AACGAAUAACUAUGGUGUCUUGGUUGUCGCUGGCUCCUCGGAGCAUUGUGCACGCCCGCCAUUUUUAUCUAUCCACCUGUGCACCGAAUGUAGGUCUGGAUGACUCUCGCCUCCGGGCGGAUGCGAGGUUUGCGUGCGAGCGCUCUCCUCGAAUUUCCAGGCUCUACGUCUCUUUACACACCCCAAACGUAUGAUGCAGAAUGUAGUCAAUGGGCCUUUACAAGCCUAUAAAACACUAUACAACUUUCAGCAACGGAUCUCUUGGCUCUCGCAUCGAUGAAGAACGCAGCGAAAUGCGAUAAGUAAUGUGAAUUGCAGAAUUCAGUGAAUCAUCGAAUCUUUGAACGCACCUUGCGCUCCUUGGUAUUCCGAGGAGCAUGCCUGUUUGAGUGUCAUUAAAUUCUCAACCUCACCGGUUUUCUGAACCGUUCUCCGAGGCUUGGAUGUGGGGGUCUGUGCAGGUCGCCUCAGCGCGGUCUGCUCCCCUGAAAUGCAUUAGCGAGAUUCAUUCUGGACCUCCGUCUAUCGGUGUGAUAAUUAUCUACGUCGUUGACUUGGUUCGGACUCGCUUCUAACCGUCCGCGAGGACAACAUACUUGACAAUUUGACCUCAAAUCAGGUAGGACUACCCGCUGAACUUAAGCAUAUCAAUAAGCGGAGGAAAAGAAACUAACAAGGAUUCCCCUAGUAACUGCGAGUGAAGCGGGAAAAGCUCAAAUUUAAAAUCUGGCGGUCCUUGGCCGUCCGAGUUGUAAUCUAGAGAAGUGUUACCCGCGUCGGACCGUGUACAAGUCUCCUGGAAUGGAGCGUCAUAGAGGGUGAGAAUCCCGUCUUUGACACGGACUACCGAGGCUUCUGUGGUGCGCUCUCAAAGAGUCGAGU
RNAcentral lists this ribosomal RNA (882 nucleotides) under Coprinellus disseminatus. RNAcentral's name for it is "eukaryotic LSU rRNA". The stretch from base 606 to 882 matches the Rfam family "Eukaryotic large subunit ribosomal RNA", at positions 1 to 270 of the family's 3401-position model. Lineage: Eukaryota; Fungi; Basidiomycota; Agaricomycetes; Agaricales; Psathyrellaceae. The record is from RNAcentral.